CAAGAGAGAAAAUUAGACAUAGAGACACAUAGAGGAAAGAUGGUCUUGUGAAGAAAAAGGUAGAAAUUGGAGUGAUGUAGCUGUAAGCAUUGACAUGUUUCAAGCUCAAGUGAGAAGCAAACUAGGGAAUUUUUGCUGAAAGUUCACUGAAAAUAUCUAGAAUGACUGGAGUAAGAAAAGCAGAAGUGUAUAAGAGCGAGUAUUCAGCUCAUAGAACAAAGAUUUAGGAGAAGAAAGAAUCCCAGAAAGCCCCACCUACACAAAAAUUUCCGAUGUAAGACACCACUUCUAUAAGAGGUAUUCACUGUAGAUGUACAGAAGUCAAAGGAAAUCUAAGUUUACAAGAAAAAUAAACCAGAUUAUCAUUCUAACCAACUGCAUGUUCACACAGAUGCUCAAUAAAA
This is a non-coding RNA of Microcebus murinus (gray mouse lemur), 404 nucleotides long. The record is from RefSeq and is a predicted model, not a curated record. NCBI's taxonomy places the organism in Eukaryota, Metazoa, Chordata, Mammalia, Primates, Cheirogaleidae.